UACGGAGGGUGCAAGCGUUAUCCGGAUUCACUGGGCUUAAAGGGUGCGUAGGAGGGCAGGUAAGUCAGUGGUGAAAUCUCCAAGCUUAACUUGGAAACUGCCGUUGAUACUAUCUGUCUUGAAUAUUGUGGAGGUGAGCGGAAUAUGUCAUGUAGCGGUGAAAUGCUUAGAUAUGACAUAGAACACCAAUUGCGAAGGCAGCUCGCUACACAUAUAUUGACGCUGAGGCACGAAAGCGUGGGGAGCAAACAGG
Molecule: ribosomal RNA, 253 nt
Filed under: uncultured bacterium
Lineage: Bacteria
Description: partial 16S ribosomal RNA
Rfam family: Bacterial small subunit ribosomal RNA
Source: RNAcentral